AUUGAACGCUGGCGGCAGGCCUAACACAUGCAAGUCGAGCGGAUGAAGGGAGCUUGCUCCUGGAUUCAGCGGCGGACGGGUGAGUAAUGCCUAGGAAUCUGCCUGGUAGUGGGGGAUAACGUCCGGAAACGGGCGCUAAUACCGCAUACGUCCUGAGGGAGAAAGUGGGGGAUCUUCGGACCUCACGCUAUCAGAUGAGCCUAGGUCGGAUUAGCUAGUUGGUGGGGUAAAGGCCUACCAAGGCGACGAUCCGUAACUGGUCUGAGAGGAUGAUCAGUCAACCUGGAACUGAGAACCGGUCCAGCCUCCUACGGGAGGCAGCAGGGGGGAAUUUUGGACAAUGGGCGAAACCCUGAUCCAGCCAUGCCGGGGGGGUGAAGAAGGUUUUCGGUUUGUAAAGCCCUUUAAGUUGGGAGGAAGGGAAGUAAGUUAAGACCUUGCUUUUUUGACUUUACCAACAAAAUAAGCACCGGCUAACUUCGU
RNAcentral lists this ribosomal RNA (483 nucleotides) under uncultured bacterium. RNAcentral describes it as "partial 16S ribosomal RNA". It matches the Rfam family "Bacterial small subunit ribosomal RNA", at positions 30 to 506 of the family's 1533-position model. The record is from RNAcentral.